UACAAGUAGUAGGGAAGGAAACUGGACCGACCUUCGGGGAGCUUGUACAGGUGCUGCAUGGCUGUCGUCAGCUCGUGUCGUGAGAUGUCGGUUAAGUCGCUAACGAGCGCAACCCUCGCUGUGUGUUACAAGUGUCACACGGGAACUGCCGGUCAUAAACCGGAGAAGGUGGGGAUGACGUCAAGUCAGCAUGGCCUUUAUAUCCUGGGCUACACACACGCUACAAUGGGAAGGGACAAUAGGUUGCGAAGCCGCGAGGCGGAGCCAAUCCAGCAAAACUUCCCUCAGUUCAGAUUGCAGGCUGCAACUCGCCUGCAUGAAGUUGGAGUUGCUAGUAAACGCAGGUCAGCCAUACUGCGUUGAAUACGUUCCCGGGGCUU
This 380-nucleotide ribosomal RNA is filed under the name uncultured Anaerolineaceae bacterium. RNAcentral describes it as "bacterial SSU rRNA". It matches the Rfam family "Bacterial small subunit ribosomal RNA", at positions 987 to 1382 of the family's 1533-position model. Lineage: Bacteria; Bacillati; Chloroflexota; Anaerolineae; Anaerolineales; Anaerolineaceae. The record is from RNAcentral.